This 1200-nucleotide long non-coding RNA is filed under the name Cottoperca gobio. Its description in RNAcentral is "lncRNA (ENSCGOG00000020404.1)". The record is from RNAcentral. Lineage: Eukaryota; Metazoa; Chordata; Actinopteri; Perciformes; Bovichtidae.
UGCUGGAUGAAGACCUCCCAGAAGAUGGCUCUCUGCACAGCGAAGGAGACGGCAUCGCCCACAUGGCUCAGUGGAGGAUGAGACAGCUGUGCUGGGGGACGCAGGACGUCCACAAUGACAACGAGAGUGAUUUACAGAGCUACAAGCUUUCAGAGGAUCCGGGGAACAAGAGGACGGACGGAGACCUCGUCCUGGACUUCUGUCCUCCGAGGUGUCCUGCUGCUGCUUUGGGUGUUGAUGUGGAGGAACUGGCUGAAGACUGUUCUGCAGUCAGAUCCCAGCUGGAGUAUCUGCAGAGGUUACUGCUGCAGGAGGAGGACGAGGACACUCUGACCACCGACACGCUGAGUCCUGAGACCGAGUCCUUCCACAGCUCCGACACACAGGUGCAGUCUCUCCUGCAGGAGGUGCAGCAGCUCAGAGAGGAGCUGAGGAGCCGGGACCGGACCAUCGCACAGCUCAGCCUGAAGCUGGUGUGUGUCAGCUGUUACUGUCCUCAUCACAACUACACACCAUCACAACUACACACCAUCACACCUACACACGAUCACAACUACACACCAUCACAACUACACACCAUCACAACUACACACCAUCACAACUACACACCAUCACAACUACACACCAUCACAACUACACACCAUCACAACUACACACCAUCACAACUACACACCAUCACAACUACAACUACACACCAUCACAACUACACACCAUCACAACUACACACCAUCACAACUACAACUACACACCAUCACAACUACACACCAUCACAACUACACACGAUCACAACUACAACUACACACCAUCACAACUACACACCAUCACAACUACACACGAUCACAACUACACACCAUCACACCUACACACCAUCACACCUACACACCAUCACAACUACACACCAUCACAACUACACACCAUCACAACUACACACCAUCACACCUACACACCAUCACACCUACACACCAUCACACCUACACACCAUCACACCUACACACCAUCACACCUACACACCAUCACACCUACACACCAUCACAACUACACACCAUCACACCUACACACCAUCACACCUACACACCAUCACACCUACACACCAUCACAACUACACACCAUCACAACUACACACCAUCACACCUACACAUCAUCACACCUACACAUCAUCACAACUACCAGCACAACUACACACCAUCACAACUACACACG